AGUUGUCAGUAGUUGGUUUUGAGGUACGUUAAUGUCAUGUUUUAUGCCCCUUCUCUUUGUGCAAUCUGAUUAUGUUUUUUAGGGCACUCAAUUAUUAUGCAAGGGCUCUUGUGCAAAUAAUGAGAUUCAUCACGAAAUUUUGCUCCACUAUCAUUGAACUGCCUAAUACUAUUAGGAUCAAAUAGUGUUAAAUAUUGGGUCAAAAUGUUCCGAUAAAUCUGAUUUUUUUUGCAGUAUGCCCUUAGCCAUGGCCUAUAGCAGUUGAAGCUUGAUCCUUUAAUUGCAAUUAUAUUUUUAUUUACAAUGCAAAAGAGAAGGUGACCUGUGUUUCUUCAUACUUAUCUUUAUUCUCGAUACAAACAUAGCAUAAACAUUGUUUGUGAGUAAGAUAUGAAUUUAGAAUGUCAUUCUUGAAAGUUUUAAUAUUGCCUCGUAUCUUCAUGUUUCUUUUUAACUGUUUCAAAUCAUAGAUGUUGACCAUUUCCUCAUCAAUACUGUAGCUAAUAUGAUAUAUAGUAAACAAUGAACCCCUUAAAAUGGAGCCUUAAGGGUUUAACUUAUGUGGGUUUGCAGUAGAAAUGCCUGUUGUUAUGAUGAUUCUGAGUACUUGUAUUAGCAUUGAUGUAGAACCUGGGAAUUAGAUAUCAAAGGAAACGAUUUCCUAAGGGAAAGGAAACGAUUUCUCAAUAAUAAUCGUUGUUAAAAGCUACUAAAUAAUAGAAACUAGCCCUAUUUAAAGAGUUGAAAACCGAAUCACAUUAGGAUUUUAGUACCUAAUUCAACCCUAGUUUGGAA
RNAcentral lists this unclassified non-coding RNA (795 nucleotides) under Hevea brasiliensis (rubber tree). Lineage: Eukaryota; Viridiplantae; Streptophyta; Magnoliopsida; Malpighiales; Euphorbiaceae. The record is from RNAcentral.